Spinacia oleracea (spinach) is the source of this 1100-nucleotide long non-coding RNA. RefSeq lists it as uncharacterized. The transcript is spliced from 2 exons. Lineage: Eukaryota; Viridiplantae; Streptophyta; Magnoliopsida; Caryophyllales; Amaranthaceae. The record is from RefSeq and is a predicted model, not a curated record.
UGUCAUCCUGCCACAGGAAAAUUCACUGGUUAGACAAGUGUUCAUUUGAACUUUUUAAGUGAUGACGUAAUUCCUGUCAAUCAUAAUGAAGGUACUUCAGUCUUCAGCACCGACCCAAGUUGGAAUAUGAUGUUUCGUUAGCCAUGUUGAGCCGGACUGUAAAGAUCGUAGCUUGAAAUUGACUGCAGCAAGCGACAGAAAACAUAGAUGCUUUCGCUAGCUCUGGAUCUGUCACAUACAGAAGAAGAAAUCUUGAAUCAAGUUGGAGCAUACUAAAAGAUUUAGCAACUUCAUUUAUGGUGUCAAGUGCCAUCUAGAAUUUUUAAUUUGCACUUUGCAGGUACCCAACCCCUUCAUGCUCGAUCUUCUACUAUUUUCUGUUUGGUCUAUAUAUUGUUGCAUGAUUUAAUAGAUUAUGUCUUCAUUUGUCAAUUGCAUAGCCAAGUAAAUUGCUCCUGCUAGUGGCCACCUUCUCUUUUGUAACCGAGUUAGUCAUGUUGUCAUUGCAAAAAUGUCACUACGUAUUCGUUUUGUGCGUAUGACUGAAGAAAUGAAUCUCUAUACAAAAAGAGUCGGUCUAAUUGUUAGCUUAGGAUGGCCGAAAAGUCGAUAAUGCUCUUAUUUGACUACCUCUUUUUGAACCGAAAUCUAACUAUUAUGUAGUUCAUUAAGAAUGUAUUGGUAAACUUUUGUGGUGUAGUUGUCUAACAGGGAGAUAGACGUUCCGUACAAAAUAUAAAACGUUACUUUCUCACAAAUAGCGGAGCUGAAGCUUUGAAAGCCUGAGGUUAAGGCUUUUUAGCUUGAAAAGGGUGGAAUAUGUGGAUAGUGGAUUGAAGUAAUAAACUUCUAAUUAUAGGAUGGCAAUCGAUUUCAACAAAACGUCUGAUAAUUUCCCCUGUUACCGAUGUAGAGUCAAAAGUGUGAUAAUUGGUGUCGGUUUUUGAGUACUGCAUAAAGUAGCAUAGCUUGUAUUUAUUAUAUGCCUGCUCUUAUAAUAAGUUAAAAGAGCUUUAACCUUUCGUCCUUGUUGUAAUCAAGGAUUAUAGAUUUGCAUCCAACAUUAUUGAUUAACUAAUCAUUCUAGAUCUUUGGGUUGA